This 253-nucleotide ribosomal RNA is filed under the name uncultured bacterium. RNAcentral's name for it is "partial 16S ribosomal RNA". It matches the Rfam family "Bacterial small subunit ribosomal RNA", at positions 524 to 776 of the family's 1533-position model. The record is from RNAcentral.
UACGUAGGGGGCAAGCGUUGUCCGGAAUUACUGGGCGUAAAGGGCUCGUAGGUGGCCAACUAAGUCAGACGUGAAAUCCCCAGGCUUAACCUGGGAACUGCGUCUGAUACUGGAUGGCUUGAAUUCGGGAGAGGGAUGCAGAAUUCCAGGUGUAGCGGUGAAAUGCGUAGAUAUCUGGAGGAAUACCGGUGGCGAAGGCGGCAUCCUGGACCGAGAUUGACACUGAUGAGCGAAAGCUAGGGGAGCAAACGGG